CCGGACAGGUGCAUGCGUCUGAGUCCAGCUUGUCGCCUCACUCGGUCAGUGCCAGAUGAAGAACUCACCAAACUUGACGAAGAUUUCAAACGUGCCCAACUAAAUUGGUCAUCGAUAGGAUGAGAAAAAAAAGUGAGCUACAUGACUCAGGGGAAAUGUCAUCAUCAAGCAAAUUGCUCUGACUAAAGGACUGACCAGGACCCUACAAUCACUAGGAAGACCCGUGGGGGGUCCGUCUACACAUCUGGUGGUGUUGGACUGUGGUGGCCAGUUUGCACCAAACUAGGAGACUCAGCAAGAGUAAAGAUGUCUCCCAUGUUGUAAACUUUGCACAUGUCAAUGUGGAGGAGCUCCAGGCUGGAAGAGAAGGCCACCCAGAGGAGCUCCAUCUCCUUGCGCUGCUCCACGGGGAGGCUUUUGUCCCGAAGAUGCGAGGAUUUCAUGGGGAUGUAAUGUCUCGUCUUCCAGAAAACACUAGACUGGGUUCAAGGGCCAAAGCAUCCCACCUUUUUACAACUCUACAUACAGUAAAAGUACUCGUGUGAGUUUUCUCCUUGCAAGUUUUUCUAGACCAUCCACGGUCUGCAUAAGAUACAAGACGGACAGAGACAGAUGUGUGUUGUUGUCUAUUGGUUGAUAUACUGUACAAUAUUAAUCCCAGGCAAAUAUUAGUUACCUUCGCUUAUAAAAGCAUCAUAUUAUCUGUUGUGCAAAAAUGGUCAAAAUGUGAAUGUAGGUUAAGACAUGAACACACGACUAUGGCUCAAAUGCAGUGCAACCCAGAUAUUUGAAUGAGCACAAAGAUGCAGCGGAGCAAGAAAUUCUAUUCAGUGAGAGUGCUGUUUUAGCCACAGGGAUGAACUUGCUUGUAUUGUACUUACUGUUGGUACUUAUUUAGUUUGACAAUAUACAUGAGUGAAGGGAAAUGUUUCAUUUUUUUCACUUUGGAAAACCAAAUUUCCUAUUUGUUGGUAUAGCUUUGGAGAGUUGAUAGUUAGUAGUUUUCUAACCCUUAAAUAUUUUGUCAUAGGUACAGUGUGAUCCAAAAGUUUAAGGUUAGCAAUGAAUCGAAAUUGAAACAGUUAAUAUAACUAAAAUAUAAUUAAGCUUACCUUAAUCAAAGAAUCCACCAGAGCUUUGCCAUCAGUCAAAGCCUUGUUUGUUCCAAGUGUGCAGUUAUCUUCUACUUUGUUAUUUACAAGUGGCAUGAGGAUGACUUGCCAAAAAUCGGGCACAAGAUUCUGUCCUGGAUGGCCGCCCUUCACUGUGUAGGCUGCUUCUCUUUCCUCAAAAGAUGCUUCACUGAGGUCCAAACAGGCUUCAGGUCCAAGGCACCAGAGCUAUGCAUGACCAUAUCCCAGCCCAAUACCCGAUUCACGCCAUCCAUGGACCUCUAAGUAUGCUUUGGAGGGUGACAAAAUAUUCGAAAUGUGAUGAGAGCGAAGAGAGAGGCUAAUAAAAUGAUGUAACUUUAGCAAGAUACUAAUCCUGUGAUUGACCCCUUUGCACCGACGCAGGAUAAAGCCGACAUGUAAUCUCAUUAACUGUCACUGAGAGCGAAGACAAAAGCAGAUGCCUGUCUCCGCCACAACUGUCCUUUCACCGAGGGGAGGCUGCGCUCUUUGCCUCCACUCUGGCUAUCUCUCUUUCACUCAACUUGAAAAUAAUAUGCUUAAGAAAUGAAUGCAAAUAUAGUUCAAAUCUAAAGUAACAGAAUAUAUGUAAGAAAACUUUAUGAUUUGAAGUAAUUUUCCGCCUCUUCAACAAUGUAUGGUGCAAUUCAAACUCUCACAUAGAUGUGAUGUCAUUAAAAAUACCCUAAAUUUCAUUUUUGUAACCUGAAAUGUGAUGAAUGUUGCUAAAGUGACCUACAAUACAGAAAAAUAAAAACUUUAAAAUUUCA
Long non-coding RNA from Phycodurus eques (leafy seadragon), 1903 nucleotides. RefSeq lists it as uncharacterized. NCBI's taxonomy places the organism in Eukaryota, Metazoa, Chordata, Actinopteri, Syngnathiformes, Syngnathidae. The transcript has 5 exons. The record is from RefSeq and is a predicted model, not a curated record.